UACGGAAGGCAGCAGGGGGGAAUAUUGCACAAUGGGCGCAAGCCUGAUGCAGCCAUGCCGCGUGUAUGAAAAAGGCCUUCGGGUUGUAAAGUACUUUCAGUCGUGAGGAAGGUGUUAAGGUUAAUAACCUUAGCAAUUGACGUUAGCGACAGAAGAAGCACCGGCUAACUCCGUGCCAGCAGCCGCGGUAAUACGGAGGGUGCGAGCGUUAAUCGGAAUUACUGGGCGUAAAGGGCACGCAGGCGGUUAAAUUAAGUUGGACGUGAAAUCCCCGGGCUUAACCUGGGAAUGGCAUUCAAGACUGGUUAGCUAGAGUCUUGUAGAGGGGGUAGAAUUCCAUGUGUAGCGGUGAAAUGCGUAGAGAUGUGGAGGAAUACCGGUGGCGAAGGCGGCCCCUGGGACAAAGACUGACGCUCAUGUGCGAAAGCGUGGGGAGCAAACGAGGAUUAGAUACC
Molecule: ribosomal RNA, 455 nt
Filed under: uncultured bacterium
Lineage: Bacteria
Description: bacterial SSU rRNA
Rfam family: Bacterial small subunit ribosomal RNA
Source: RNAcentral